This 2419-nucleotide long non-coding RNA is filed under the name Homo sapiens (human). Its description in RNAcentral is "HSALNT0407336". The record is from RNAcentral. Lineage: Eukaryota; Metazoa; Chordata; Mammalia; Primates; Hominidae.
AGUUUGCUGCAACGUCUGCUUGGAGUCGCGGUAGCGGGUGCUGCGCGGAGUCUAGGACGACGCGAGACGCCAUUUGCAUCCCCCCUCCCUCCUGCAGCUGCUGUCUCCCGGGCGGAAUUAGGCGACCACGUUUGCUCAACCCGAAGGAGAGAGGAUCGCGCGGGCGCUGGGCGGCCGCCGGGCCCGGGCCGCGAAAAUCCAGCCCUGGCUUUGCGUCGAGCUGCUGAGUGCCGCGCUUACGCGCGCGGGGCCAGCCGGGGCCUGGUUUCCAUCUGCCCCUUUUGCCUCCGUGUUAAGUUCGCCGGGGAAAACCCAACGAUCCGUGCUGAGCCCCUCGGAGGAGAGCCCCCGCCCCACCCCACCCCCAGCCCGAUCCCGACCGAUGGAAAAAAUGACAGUAUAGGUCAGAACAGGCUGCCCGCGAGUAUUAAUAUGGACGGCCUCCGUUCCUGGUGCUUGGGGAGGAUGGGCGCUUCGCCAGGAAACCGCCGAAGGAGGCGCCAUGAGGGCCGCCUGCCCCUUCUCGGGCUAGAAAACGUGGAUUCUCAGAGGGACCAGACAAAUGUGGUCAGAUAGCUGCAGGAACUUACCCCAUCUAAAUACAGGUUGCCCGUGUAUAUUCCAACCAAGAUCAUUUUUGUUUCAAUCUAAUACACGUUGAAUCAAUUAGAAAUACUGUGAGAAACUGUGGUCAAACGGUAGAUAGGAAACUUGCUCUUUGCCUAACAUUAAAUGUAUGCUCAGGAGGUGCGGGGCUGAGCACUAUCGGCGCAGCCAGUCUGUGUCCUAAGAAGACAGGGUCCCCUUUGCGUUCCACCUUCCAGGACCUUAAUAGAACGCGAAGAGAGGAAUUAUUUUAGUUGUAGUUUCUAUUAGAGGGUUGCUUACUCCUUGCAAACUCCCGCCUGGGGUUGUCGGUAGUUAGUAGUAGAUGGUUCUGCGUUUUGGCUUUUACAGUCCACGUUUUUCUCUUGGCUUUUUCUUUUCCUGCGUACACGCUGCUGGGUACGGGGAGGGGGCUGCCCAGACGUGUGCUGCCGCCGCCCUCGGGCUCUUUCUUGCGCACCACGCGGCCUCGGAGGAGGGGAAAUGUGAACUCUCCGGGUGGCGCUCGAGAACUGGAAUUCUGAUUUAGGGCUGCGGGUUUGUUCCGGAGGCUGGCUGGGAGCGUCUUGUAGGGGCCGGAGGCUGUGAAGGGGAAGCCCCAGAGGUGACCCUGAGGCCUCAGAAGCAAACCUGGAGGCGCCCGUGUUCUUUGUCUUUCUCGGGGCUGGCAGCUUGGCACGCACAGUUCCGAUAAGGAUCUACUGAGAGCUAGAGCGCACUGCCAGCACAUUUCAGUGAUUAGGCAAACGCCGGUAGCCACUUAAGGCAAAGGCCAUUUGCGUUGUGUUUGAAAAGGAAAAGGCAGCCUCACCUAAUGAAUUAUGGGUGACCCUGGAGAGGCCAAGCAGGGGAGGCCGAGGCCUCCCUAGGCUCUUAUUUGCCGCAACUCCUCCCCUUUUUGCCAGAGUCGCCAUUUCAAAGGUAAUGGGAAGCCUUUUGAAAUUAGAAGUCUGACCGAUUCUGUCUACAGAAGUGGUAUUUGCAUCUGUGCACCAGUAAAAUGUGGCCCGCCAGCGGCCCAGGGACAAGGCCUGCCAUACGCCAGCCCUGCACCAGUGUUAGACCAAAGUACAUCCCAGAGGACAUGGCUUUUGGCCAACUCCUCCGAGAACUGAUUUAAAGAGGUGGCCUUCAGCCAUCAAAAAAGGUGUCCUGGAAGAGUAGGCUGGAGGUCCUGGAAACCAGCGCUCUUCCCCAGGGCUGCAGGGAGAGAGUGGGUAAUGGUGCCUGAGCCCUGACGGAACUUGCUAUUAAUCCAGUCUAAAUGAGCACCAUUAAAAAGGACUCUCCCUCCUAUCCACCACCACACACACACAAGCCUUUAUGGGACGGUCUAGUGGAGACCUAGACAGUUUGAGGGCAUUUGGCCUUCACUUUUCAGUGGCCAUACAAUAGUGCCCUUUCCACCCUGCCAAGACCACUGGCUCCAUGUAAACUUCCAGGAACUUUAACCCGGAACUUUGUACUCCCUACCCAUCCAAAGGGAGUGCCAGAUCAUAGUAACAAACACACGUAGCAUUGUACUGGAGGCAGCGUUCUAAGCACCUUAUGUAUGGAGGCAUGUUAUCCUCAGAACAACCCUACGAGGUAGAUAAUAGUAUUGGUCUUAUUUUACAGAUGAGGACUCCGAGGUUUCGAACUGUUAAGCGGUUUGCCCAAAGCCGCACAGCUUGGGAUAAUAGGGCCUGGAUUGACCAGAGGGAGAGAUAGGGCCUGGAUUGACCAGAGAGAGAAAUAGGGCUGUGUUGCCUCUCUAGCGUUUUGUAAUGAAAGUGAUCUGUUUGGGGGUUGUUUCGAGAGGACUGCCUGGACC